ACGGAAGGCAGCAGUGAGGAAUAUUGGUCAAUGGGCGGAAGCCUGAACCAGCCAAGUCGCGUGAGGGAAGACGGCCCUACGGGUUGUAAACCUCUUCUGCGCGGGGGUAAAGUCGGGGUCGGGUCCCCGAUUGCAAGUACCGCGCGAAAAAGGAACGGCUAACUCCGUGCCAGCAGCCGCGGUAAUACGGAGGAUCCGAGUGUUAUCCGGAUUUAUUGGGUUUAAAGGGUGCGCAGGCGGUAUGCCAAGUCAGUGGUGAAAUGGUGCGGCUCAACCGUAGCAUUGCCGUUGAAACUGGCGUCCUUGAGUGCGAAUGAGGUAAGCGGAACGUGUCAUGUAGCGGUGAAAUGCAUAGAUAUGACACAGAACACCGAUUGCGAAGGCAGCGUACUGGGACGCGACUGACGCUGAGGCACGAAAGUGCGGGGAUCAAACAGGAUUAGAUAACCUGGUA
This 454-nucleotide ribosomal RNA is filed under the name uncultured Porphyromonadaceae bacterium. RNAcentral's name for it is "bacterial SSU rRNA". It matches the Rfam family "Bacterial small subunit ribosomal RNA", at positions 341 to 792 of the family's 1533-position model. The record is from RNAcentral. Lineage: Bacteria; Pseudomonadati; Bacteroidota; Bacteroidia; Bacteroidales; Porphyromonadaceae.